GUUGUAUCCCCCAACCCAAUCCAUUCCUCUUCGCUCGCCCCAAAUUUCGCUCUCGCUCGCCGGUUGUUGGCAGAAAUUGGAGCGGCCGGAGCGCGCGCGCGACGGAGGUGCGCGAGGUUGCGUUGGCGCGCGCGGGGUACUGCAGAGGUGCGCCCAGAGAAGGCCGCGGUGGGAGGUGCGCUAGGCCACAGGGGGAGGCGCGCGAGGCUGAGAUGGAAAGCUCGCUGUUGCGGUGGUGCGCGCGCGGCGAGGCUGUGUUUGUGCGCGCGCGCUUUGGAGGUGCGCGUGGCUGCGGUGCUGCGCGGGGGGACUGCAGACGAAACCGGUGAGCGGGGUGAAGGUACCCGGCGACGUUUUCAUUUCCGGCGGUUGAGUCUCCGCGGCUGAGGUAAGGUCCAGCUCCAUGCACCGUUCUGUGUUUCCAUUUUCUGCUCGGGUUAGGGUUCUUAGGUCAUGGGCGCAGGGUGGGGAGAGGGAAUCAUGCGCACAGAGAGGACUUUCGGCAGAUUUGUUUGUAUUCGAAACGGAUUUGCCUGAGAUUACAGUAGGAGUUGCCUGAAUCAUGUUAACUUAGUUGCUCGGAGUCUAUGACUGACUGAUGUAAACUGGUUUUUUGUGGAAUUUGAUGAGUUGCUUCAGUAUUGCGUAUGAGUUGCCCCGUUAAUGUUAAUCGAGUUGCCCAAUUCCGCCAUCUCCUGCAUACGACCAACCAAUCAAUCUGAUUCAACUGAAUUAGGAAUCCAUAGCAGCACAAUGCAUACUAUACUAGAGCGAGAUGACCGAACACUAAGCAUGACUAUUAGCCAUUGACUGUUAUCUGAAACGAACGAACGAAAAUCCAAACACCGUUGCAACUUGUUCUCUGAAUCUGACUGCCCUAUAAAGACUAGUUUACUAUAUGUACAAUCUGUGUAUUGAUGAUUCCAACUGAGCCGGGCAGUUAAUGAUGUGAUGAAUCAUCAGAAGAUGAUAUCACCAGUAGGAAUGGAAUGAAUAGUUAUCAAUCGGCCAUCUUCUCUUGUUUGCCCUCAUAGUUAAGUCAAUGAUGGUUGUCAAGUAAACAGAUGAGAUGAUGAUACAAAAAAGUCAGUAGUGCUGGUAAGGGAUUAUGCAUGUAUGUAUGUAUGUAUGUAUGUAUGUGGAGUAUGUAAUAAACAAUCUAGACAGAGGCUGUUCAUGCGCUCGGCAUUGUCAUUGUUGGGGUCCGGUUGGAUUCGGCUUGUCUGUAAGUCUCCCUUAACUAUUUCAAAGUGUAUUCACAAUAAUAACUAUUCAAAGCACAUGCUAUGUCUGUCCAAGAGCCUAGUUAAUAUUCUCACAUAACUGGAUCCUUUGCUUAUUGCAGUGAAGAGAAGCGAGAGGAAACUCACGGUGGUCUAGGCACAAAAUGCUAUCAACCCACUUGCUUGAAAAUUAUUUGCAUUUGCAUACAUCCCAGCAGGACUUGUUGUUUAUUUUCCCUCUUUGCAACCAAGAAGUUUUGCCAACCACUUCCAGGACUUGCUCUAUGGCCCCCCUUUAUUCGCAAGCAAAAAGGUUUCACCGACAACUUUCAGGUAAACUUCGCACAAGCCCAAGAUCUUUCCAACAUGUGUUUUUAUGCAUCCCCAGUAGCGGUUGUUAGUUUUAUUUGUUCAACAAAAAAGGGAAUUGCCUAAAACUUAUAUGUAAAUUGCCUACAUUGCAGAAGACUUGCUUUUGAUUUCCCGUUCUCCUUUCUUUGGUGACAAACUAAUAAGCUGGCUGCAAAAAUAGGUUUUGACUCACAAAAUUUGUGUAAACUACAAGAACAACUUGAGCCUUUUUGUGUCUGGCGAGUCGAUGGCGAUCGACAAUUUUUUCUAGGUGAGGCAAACCAUUGCUCUGCCUUGAAGUCAGGCAUUAUCUUGGCAAUGUUUGAGAGUGACACGAGUGGGAAGUUGCCUGGCAGAGGCUGCGAGUUACCUGAUCUGUGGGCGUGAGUUGCCAGAUGUGUAUUACAAGUUGUGAGAUCUACGGUUUUUUGAACUUGGCACUAGUGUGGUUCCCCCGUUUUUCAAAAACUUGCAUAACAAUUGAUAAGUAGUUGCUUGUUUUUGCUUUUCGAUUUGCCCAAUGGCUGUCGUUUAAACAUCAACCUGGACUAAAAAUGAGGGAUUAGGCAAGUCCACACUACUAGACUAGGCAAUUGACACACAAAACAAGCAAGUUAAACACAAAUGUUAGGCACAAACCUAGGGGGUAGGGGUUGUGUGCAGGUAAAUCACACAUACAGAACAUGCAUGUCACAUUCAAAGGUCAAGCAAGUAACAUACUCAACACUAGCAAGUCACAUUCAAAUGUCAAGCAAGUCACAUAGCCAACACCAGCCAGUUAGAUUAAAAUGUCAAGCAAGUCACAUGCUCAACACUAGUUGUAGGUAAGCUCUUCUUUUUUUCCCUUUCAAACACCCACAUGGUUUGUUUGACAUUUUCAGCAGGACUUGCUUGACAUUUGAAUGCGACUUGCUAGUGUUAAGUAUGUGACUUGUCAAUUCUUUUUUAGGCAAACUGUGACUUUGCAUGUUUCUGAAUGUGUGAUUUACCUGACACACAACCCCCUCUUUCCCACAUUUGAUGUUUGUUUAGGCAAAUUAUUUCUUAAUUUUCCAAACAAACCAACCUUGUAACUUGUGUGUUCCAUUGUCCAUGUUUUUUCGCCAAAUGAACAGUGCAUUGCAGCUAGAGUUGAGUAGAACUUGCUUGAUAUUUGAAUUUGACUUGCUACUGUUAAUUAAGCCUGUGACUUGCCUGCUGUUUAGGAAAACUGGGACAUGCCUGUUUCUCAAUGUGUGAUUUAUAUGACACACAACCCCCCUCCCACACCCCCUUGAAGUUUGUUUAGGCAAAUUAUUUCUUUGUUUUUUCAAACAACAAACCUAUCACUUGUCUUUUUCAAUGUCCACAUUUUUUUUCUGGAAGGAAAGAAGAAUCAGAGAGUGAUCCCUUUCCAACAGACUGAUCGAAUUCCAGCUGACUCUUAUCGCUAACUUGACUCGGUCUAAGGGCACAAGGUUUAUGUCUAUCCCUAGCAAGUCAGAGUGCAUUACAUAGUGCAUUUGAGCUAGUGAUGAGUAGGACUUGGUUGACAUUUGGGCCUGACUUGCUAGUGUUAAGUAUGUGACUUGCUUGACAUUUGGAAAACCUUUUGUUCCUCUUAAAAUGUGUGUUUGUGUGUGAUAUCCAGCCUAUUUAUUUUAACGAAACCUGAGUUCCUUUUUAUUGCCUUUGCAAAGAAGCAAGCAUGAUCACUUCUUUCUCUUCAAGAAUUUUCUUUUUUUACAGGUAACCACAUCAGCUCAGCCAACUGUGUUCAGAUUUAUUUCCUUUUCUCAAGCAUGUUUUUUAAUUUUUUGUGCAGUUUUUAAUAACUAGCAUGUAUGUAUUUGCAUGUUUUACAACGGAGAUUGCAUUUUACAAAGCAUAGGAGAGUCGGGUGUUCUUCAUGGUGCGGGAUCACCUGCAUAGGUACUGGUGGUUUUCUGGGGUUGUUUAUGUCAAGAGCAACCAUGGUCAGAGGAGGAGGAAGAACUAACCCGUCGGCUGGAGAAGAUGGGGCAGAGGUGGUUGCUGCGGGAGUGGCGACGCUGCUGCUGCUGGAUUUUGGCCUUGUAGGAACUUUGAUCCAUGGAUUUGGAACCAUGGGGGAAAAGGGGGAGGAAGAAGGAGGGGAACAGGAGGUAGGGAGAGGCGUUCGCGUGGGACGCACGCUGUGCAGGUGUGCGGGAGCGGUUACGAUCACAGGAGAUUCGUUGUCGGCCAUGUGCGGGAGUGGUUACACCCCUUUCCUUUUCUGUCGUGCCAACUGUCCAGGGGUUUUCACUUUCCUUUUUUUGGUGUGUGCCCUACAAUACUAACUAGCCAACAUGUGCUCCCUAGUCACAUCCUAUAUACAAUAAUAGAAGUGCCUAAGCUAGAAACAAAGUCGUGCAUCUGAAGUACUUGGCUGAGCUCUCAA
Long non-coding RNA from Triticum dicoccoides, 3975 nucleotides. RefSeq lists it as uncharacterized. The record is from RefSeq and is a predicted model, not a curated record. The transcript is spliced from 4 exons. Lineage: Eukaryota; Viridiplantae; Streptophyta; Magnoliopsida; Poales; Poaceae.